This 434-nucleotide ribosomal RNA is filed under the name uncultured bacterium. RNAcentral describes it as "partial 16S ribosomal RNA". It matches the Rfam family "Bacterial small subunit ribosomal RNA", at positions 29 to 507 of the family's 1533-position model. The record is from RNAcentral.
AGCGAACGCUGGCGGCAGGCCUAACAGAUGCAAGUCGAACGAACCUUUCGGGGUUAGUGGCGGACGGGUGAGUAACACGUGGGAACGUGCCUUUAGGUUCGGAAUAACUCAGGGAAACUUGUGCUAAUACCGAAUGUGCCCUUCGGGGGAAAGAUUAAUCGCCUUUAGAGCGGCCCGCGUCUGAUUAGCUAGUUGGUUGAGGUAAUGGCUCACCAAGGCGACGAUCAGUAGCUGGUCUGAGAGGAUGAUCAGCCACAUUGGGACUGAGACACGGCCCAAACUCCUACGGGAGGCAGCAGUGGGGAAUCUUGCGCAAUGGGCGAAAGCCUGACGCAGCCAUGCCGCGUGAAUGAUGAAGGUCUUAGGAUUGUAAAAUUCUUUCACCGGGGACGAUAAUGACGGUACCCGGAGAAGAAGCCCCGGCUAACUUCGUG